Molecule: transfer RNA, 72 nt
Filed under: Camelus bactrianus (Bactrian camel)
Lineage: Eukaryota; Metazoa; Chordata; Mammalia; Artiodactyla; Camelidae
Also listed under: 2 other names
Rfam family: tRNA
About the family: Transfer RNA (tRNA) molecules are approximately 80 nucleotides in length.
Source: Rfam by way of RNAcentral
GUGGGUAUAGCUCAGUGGUAGAACAUAUGCUUAGCGUGCAUUAAGUCCUGGGUUCUAUCCCCAGUACCUCCG